This 460-nucleotide ribosomal RNA is filed under the name Leuconostoc citreum. RNAcentral's name for it is "bacterial SSU rRNA". The stretch from base 1 to 413 matches the Rfam family "Bacterial small subunit ribosomal RNA", at positions 138 to 540 of the family's 1533-position model. The record is from RNAcentral. Lineage: Bacteria; Bacillati; Bacillota; Bacilli; Lactobacillales; Lactobacillaceae.
GCGGGWAUUCGAUUGGRAACAGAUGCUAAUACCGAAUAAAACUUAGUAUCGCAUGAUAUCAAGUUAAAAGGCGCUACGGCGUCACCUAGAGAUGGAUCCGCGGUGCAUUAGUUAGUUGGUGGGGUAAAGGCUUACCAAGACGAUGAUGCAUAGCCGAGUUGAGAGACUGAUCGGCCACAUUGGGACUGAGACACGGCCCAAACUCCUACGGGAGGCUGCAGUAGGGAAUCUUCCACAAUGGGCGCAAGCCUGAUGGAGCAACGCCGCGUGUGUGAUGAAGGCUUUCGGGUCGUAAAGCACUGUUGUAUGGGAAGAAAUGCUAAAAUAGGGAAUGAUUUUAGUUUGACGGUACCAUACCAGAAAGGGACGGCUAAAUACGUGCCACAGCCGCGGUAAUACGAUAAUCACUAGUGAAUUCGCGGCCGCCUGCAGGUCGACCAUAUGGGAGAGCUCCCAACGC